ACGGAGGGUGCAAGCGUUAAUCGGAAUUACUGGGCGUAAAGCGUGCCCAGGCGGUUUGUUAAGUCUGUUGUGAAAUCCCCGAGCUCAACUUGGGAAUUGCAAUGGAUACUGGCAGGCUAGAGUACGGCAGAGGGGGAUGGAAUUCCGCGUGUAGCAGUGAAAUGCGUAGAUAUGCGGAGGAACACCGAUGGCGAAGGCAAUCCCCUGGGCCUGUACUGACGCUCAUGCACGAAAGCGUGGGGAGCAAACAGGA
This 253-nucleotide ribosomal RNA is filed under the name uncultured prokaryote. RNAcentral's name for it is "partial 16S ribosomal RNA". It matches the Rfam family "Bacterial small subunit ribosomal RNA", at positions 525 to 777 of the family's 1533-position model. The record is from RNAcentral.